RNAcentral lists this ribosomal RNA (554 nucleotides) under Pseudomonas mosselii. RNAcentral describes it as "bacterial SSU rRNA". It matches the Rfam family "Bacterial small subunit ribosomal RNA", at positions 662 to 1214 of the family's 1533-position model. The record is from RNAcentral. Lineage: Bacteria; Pseudomonadati; Pseudomonadota; Gammaproteobacteria; Pseudomonadales; Pseudomonadaceae.
UGGAAUUUCCUGUGUACCGGUAAAAUGCGUAAAUAUAGGAAGGAACACCAGUGGCAAAGGCAACCACCUGGACUGAUACUGACACUGAGGUGCAAAACCGUGGGGAGCAAACAGGAUUAAAUACCCUGGUAGUCCACCCCGUAAACAAUGUCAACAAGCCGUUGGAAUCCUUGAAAUUUUAGUGGGGCAGCUAACGCAUUAAGUUAACCGCCUGGGGAGUACGGCCGCAGGGUUAAAACUCAAAGGAAUUGACGGGGGCCCGCACAAGCGGUGGAGCAUGUGGUUUAAUUCUAACCACCGCCAAGAACCUUCCCGGGCCUAGAUUUCCAAAGAACUUUCCAAAAAUAAAUUGGUGCCUUCGGGAACUCUGACCGGGGUGCUGCUUGGCUGUCGUCAGCUCGUGUCACGAGAUGUUGGGUUAAGUCCCGUAACAAGCGCAACCCUUGUCCUUAAUUCCCAGCACGCCAUGGGUGGGCACUCUAAGGAAACUGCCGUUGACAAACCGAAGAAAGGUGGGGAUAACCUCAGGUCAUCAUGGCCCUUACGGCCUGGGC